UACGGAGGAUGCGAGCGUUAUCCGGAUUUAUUGGGUUUAAAGGGUGCGUAGGCGGAACAUUAAGUCAGCGGUAAAAUCGAGGGGCUCAACCCCUUUAAGCCGUUGAAACUGGCGGCCUCGAGUGGGCGAGAAGUAUGCGGAAUGCGUGGUGUAGCGGUGAAAUGCAUAGAUAUCACGCAGAACUCCGAUUGCGAAGGCAGCAUACCGGCGCCCUACUGACGCUGAGGCACGAAAGUGCGGGUAUCGAACAGG
RNAcentral lists this ribosomal RNA (252 nucleotides) under uncultured Bacteroidales bacterium. RNAcentral describes it as "partial 16S ribosomal RNA". It matches the Rfam family "Bacterial small subunit ribosomal RNA", at positions 524 to 776 of the family's 1533-position model. Lineage: Bacteria; Pseudomonadati; Bacteroidota; Bacteroidia; Bacteroidales. The record is from RNAcentral.